AGGGGCCUCGCUGCUGGAGGACCCACCUGGUGUCGGCAACAUGGCAGCGUCCAGCCGGGCCCAGGUGCUGCGAUUGUACCGGGCCCUACUGCGGGAGAGCCAGCGCUUCAGCAGCUAUAAUUACAGAACAUAUGCCAUCAGAAGGAUAAGAGAUGCCUUCAGAGAAAACAAGAAUGUAAAGGAUUCUGGGAAAAUAGAAGAACUACUGAAUAAAGCCAAAGCAAACCUAGAGGUUAUUCAUCGGCAGGCUACAUGACAUUCUUCGUUGUCAAAAGACUGACUCUUUGCUCUCCUAUGACAUCCCGAUAUUUAGCAUACUAGUGAGACACUGAAUUCUUAUAGACCAGAUAAUGGAAAGUCAGGUUACUAUUGGGCAACUCUAUUCCACGCAGAAACUGGUUAUUGAGAGUCCAGAAAACACAUAGGUAUGAGAAGACUCCAAUCCUGAAGCGACACUGGACCAUCAUCAGCAUCCUACAGUGCCACAUACAGAAGCGUAAACUCACUGCACAUGUCUGAGCUUUUCUGUUCAGCAGAAGAAAUGCCUGAGAGACUCAGUUUUUGGCAACCAAAGUACUAUUUUCUAAUGGUUCACAUGUUCUAAAAUAUAUUGCUGUGAUUUAUGAUAGCAUGUAAGGUAGUCUUGAAAUGCGUGUGCUUGUGUGUUCCAUGUGAUGGAAUAGUUCCUGCCCUACUUUGACAAUAAAAUUUCAUUAAACUAGCUGUAACUAGA
RNA transcript from Pezoporus flaviventris, 733 nucleotides. It is a transcript of the gene named LYR motif containing 4, with no coding region annotated. The record is from RefSeq and is a predicted model, not a curated record. The transcript is spliced from 4 exons. Lineage: Eukaryota; Metazoa; Chordata; Aves; Psittaciformes; Psittacidae.